This 194-nucleotide ribosomal RNA is filed under the name Mucor moelleri. RNAcentral's name for it is "5.8S ribosomal RNA". The stretch from base 2 to 154 matches the Rfam family "5.8S ribosomal RNA". Rfam says of the family: 5.8S ribosomal RNA (5.8S rRNA) is a component of the large subunit of the eukaryotic ribosome. It is transcribed by RNA polymerase I as part of the 45S precursor that also contains 18S and 28S rRNA. Lineage: Eukaryota; Fungi; Mucoromycota; Mucoromycetes; Mucorales; Mucoraceae. The record is from RNAcentral.
CAACUUUUAACAACGGAUCUCUUGGUUCUCGCAUCGAUGAAGAACGUAGCAAAGUGCGAUAACUAGUGUGAAUUGCAUAUUCAGUGAAUCAUCGAGUCUUUGAACGCAUCUUGCACUCAUUGGUAUUCCAAUGAGUACGCCUGUUUCAGUAUCAAAAACACCCCACAUUCAAAACUUGUGUUUGAAUGGAAUUG